UACGGAGGGUGCAAGCGUUGUUCGGAAUCAUUGGGCGUAAAGAGCGUGUAGGCGGCCGGGUAAGUCAGAUGUGAAAUCCCUUGGCUUAACCAAGGAAGUGCAUUUGAAACUGCUCGGCUUGAGUACGGGAGGGGGAAGUGGAAUUCCCGGUGUAGAGGUGAAAUUCGUAGAUAUCGGGAGGAACACCGGUGGCGAAGGCGGCUUCCUGGACCGAUACUGACGCUGAGACGCGAAAGCGUGGGGAGCAAACAGG
RNAcentral lists this ribosomal RNA (253 nucleotides) under uncultured bacterium. RNAcentral describes it as "partial 16S ribosomal RNA". It matches the Rfam family "Bacterial small subunit ribosomal RNA", at positions 524 to 776 of the family's 1533-position model. The record is from RNAcentral.